UUGGCAGACCAGACAAUCGCCGUUUUGUGUAGACAAAAGGGAGGAAAGUCCGGGCUACACAGGGCAACGUGCUAGCUAACGGCUAGGGGGCGAAAGCCUACGACCAGUGCAACAGAGAGCAGACCGCCUAGUAAUAGGUAAGGGUGAAAGGGUGAGGUAAGAGCUCACCGCAUGGCUGGCAACAGUUCAUGGCAGGGUAAACUCCACGUGUAGCAAGACCAAAUAGGAACUCAAUGGGCGGCCCGUUCAGAGUUCGGGUAGGUUGCUUGAGCGUAUUGGCGACGAUACGCCUAGAUGAAUGAUUGUCCACGACAGAACCCGGCUUAUCGGUUUGCCAAUUUU
This 342-nucleotide RNase P RNA is filed under the name Moraxella sp. RNAcentral describes it as "RNase P RNA component class A". It matches the Rfam family "Bacterial RNase P class A". Rfam says of the family: Ribonuclease P (RNase P) is a ubiquitous endoribonuclease, found in archaea, bacteria and eukarya as well as chloroplasts and mitochondria. The record is from RNAcentral. Lineage: Bacteria; Pseudomonadati; Pseudomonadota; Gammaproteobacteria; Moraxellales; Moraxellaceae.